This 850-nucleotide long non-coding RNA is filed under the name Sinocyclocheilus anshuiensis. RNAcentral describes it as "lncRNA (ENSSANG00000030470.1)". The record is from RNAcentral. Lineage: Eukaryota; Metazoa; Chordata; Actinopteri; Cypriniformes; Cyprinidae.
GGGAGCUCAGCUGUGCUUUAGACCUGUGUGCUUUCUUUUUAUAUCAUAGCAACACUAAAAUGAUCUUCUCUCUUAUUCUUCUACUUAUUUGUGUCGCAGCAUCACAAGAUCUGGGAGACAGAGGAGGACAAGAUGUGACAACAAAUCCGGGGCUGGUUGCAGUGCUGUGUAUUUUCUGCAUUGUGGUGGCUGUAGUUGUUGUGGUUGUGAUAGUGAAGGCUGUUCGCUCCAGGAGGCCACAGUUUGAUAGGCUUGAUGAUGUACCAAUGGGCAAGGUAAAUGAGGAUGCACCGUUUGCCCGCUACCCUCCAAAAUAAAUUCCAGUUUCUUAAACUUGCAGUCUCAGUAAACUACAUAGCUAUGCCUCUGAUAUUUAGCUUGUUUUUUUUGUUUUUUAAAUGAUAUGUGCCUUUUUAGCAUAUAGACUUGAUGUGCAAUACCUAGUGUAUUAGUUAGAAAAUAUGGUAAUGUUGUGCUUAAUCUUUUCCCACAAUAGCACAAACAGUGAAAAAUCUAUAGUCAAAUGAGGAAUGUAAAUGUACAUAAGGAUAAAUGAACUGGUGGCCACCUCUGUCAUGAUUUGCACGGUCAAUAUUUGUGAGAGACUAUGACGGCUGUGUAGCAUUUUCAACUUGUCCUCCAGAUGGCGGCAAAAUUAUUCACAAGCAGUUUUACUGUAUGUAUAAUGUGGUCAUAAAGACCUGCUCUUUUAAUUUGAUUUGAGAAUUUGUAUUUGUUUUUGCUCACAAUACCAAAUCCUUUCAGUGUAAUUAUUGGUCAGGGAACCUGAUCUAUAAAACAAUUCUACAAAUGUACUGUAAACAAACAUAAAUUAUACAAUAAAUCACUG